RNAcentral lists this ribosomal RNA (253 nucleotides) under uncultured bacterium. RNAcentral describes it as "partial 16S ribosomal RNA". It matches the Rfam family "Bacterial small subunit ribosomal RNA", at positions 524 to 776 of the family's 1533-position model. The record is from RNAcentral.
UACGUAGGUGGCGAGCGUUGUCCGGAUUUACUGGGCGUAAAGCGCACGUAGGCGGAUCGUUAAGUCGGGGGUGAAAUCCUGGAGCUCAACUCCAGAACUGCCUUCGAUACUGGCGAUCUUGAGUCCGGAAGAGGUGAGUGGAACUCCUAGUGUAGAGGUGGAAUUCGUAGAUAUUAGGAAGAACACCAGUGGCGAAGGCGGCUCACUGGUCCGGUACUGACGCUGAGGUGCGAAAGCGUGGGGAGCAAACAGG